GAUGAACGCUGGCGGCGUGCCUAAUACAUGCCAGUCGAGCGAACGGACGAGAAGCUUGCUUCUCUGAUGUUAGCGGCGGACGGGUGAGUAACACGUGGAUAACCUACCUAUAAGACUGGGAUAACUUCGGGAAACCGGAGCUAAUACCGGAUAAUAUUUUGAACCGCAUGGUUCAAAAGUGAAAGACGGUCUUGCUGUCACUUAUAGAUGGAUCCGCGCUGCAUUAGCUAGUUGGUAAGGUAACGGCUUACCAAGGCAACGAUGCAUAGCCGACCUGAGAGGGUGAGCGGCCACACGGGAACUGAGACACGGUCCAGACUCCUACGGGAGGCAGCAGUAGGGAAUCUUCCGCAAUGGGCGAAAGCCUGACGGAGCAACGCCGCGUGAGUGAUGAAGGUCUUCGGAUCGGAAAACUCUGUUAUUAGGGAAGAACAUAUGUGUAAGUAACUGGGCACAUCUUGACGGUACCUAAUCAGAAAGCCACGGCUAACUACGUG
RNAcentral lists this ribosomal RNA (497 nucleotides) under uncultured bacterium. RNAcentral's name for it is "partial 16S ribosomal RNA". It matches the Rfam family "Bacterial small subunit ribosomal RNA", at positions 28 to 507 of the family's 1533-position model. The record is from RNAcentral.